CCUACGGGAGGCAGCCGUGAGGAAUAUUGGUCAAUGGGCGGGAGCCUGAACCAGCCAAGCCGCGUGAGGGAAGAAGGUACAGCGUAUCGUAAACCUCUUUUGUCAGGGAACAAAGGCGGGGACUAGUCCCCGGAUGAGGGUACCUGAAGAAAAAGCAUCGGCUAACUCCGUGCCAGCAGCCGCGGUAAUACGGAGGAUGCGCGCGUUAUCCGGAUUUAUGGGGUUUAAAGGGUGCGCAGGCGGCCUGUUAAGUCAGCGGUAAAAGCCCGGGGCUCAACCCCGGCGAGCCGUGGAAACUGGCGGGCGGGAGUUGGAGAGAAGUACGCGGAAGGCGCGGUGUAGCGGUGAAAUGCUUAGAUAUCGCGCAGAACCCCGAUUGCGAAGGCAGCGUACCGGCUCCACACUGACGCUGAGGCACGAAAGCGUGGGUAUCGAACAGGAUUAGAUACCCGGGUAGUC
RNAcentral lists this ribosomal RNA (459 nucleotides) under uncultured bacterium. Its description in RNAcentral is "partial 16S ribosomal RNA". It matches the Rfam family "Bacterial small subunit ribosomal RNA", at positions 338 to 795 of the family's 1533-position model. The record is from RNAcentral.